AGUGAACGCUGGCGGUAGGCCUAACACAUGCAAGUCGAACGGCAGCACAGUAAGAGCUUGCUCUUACGGGUGGCGAGUGGCGGACGGGUGAGGAAUACAUCGGAAUCUACUUUUUCGUGGGGGAUAACGUAGGGAAACUUACGCUAAUACCGCAUACGACCUACGGGUGAAAGCAGGGGAUCUUCGGACCUUGCGCGAUUGAAUGAGCCGAUGUCGGAUUAGCUAGUUGGCGGGGUAAAGGCCCACCAAGGCGACGAUCCGUAGCUGGUCUGAGAGGAUGAUCGGCCACACUGGAACUGAGGCACGGUCCAGACUCCUGCGGGAGGCAGCAGUGGGGAAUAUUGGACAAAGGGGGCAAGCCUGAUACAGCCAUACCGCGUGGGUGAAGAAGGCGUUCGGGUUGUAAAGCCCUUUUGUUGGGAGAGAAAAGCAGCAGGUUAAUACCCCGCUGUUCUGACGGUACCCAAAGAAUAAGCACCGGCUAACUUCGUG
Molecule: ribosomal RNA, 492 nt
Filed under: uncultured bacterium
Lineage: Bacteria
Description: partial 16S ribosomal RNA
Rfam family: Bacterial small subunit ribosomal RNA
Source: RNAcentral